UCUGUCUCCCCUUCUUGGGGGAGAGCCUGGGGGGUGGUCACGACCCUGCCGGCCUCCCUAAACCCAGGGCUCUUUGUCUUGGUGGUUGCCCCUGACUCCUUGCCACCUGGCCCUCCCGGCGCCUUGUGGGAUCCGAGGCAGGAGGGGGAUUAGGUCGUGCAAAUGGCUCCCCCCACCCCUCCCCGCCAGCCUGCCUCCCUCCCUGUCUUAGUCAUCUCUGUCCUCCACCGCCUUCUCCCUCCAUUCCAAUCCCUCUGCCAGGCCAAGGGGAGGACGGCACUGACAGGCGGCCCCCCCCACCCCGCAGGGGCGGCGGCAGGGCCAGGGGCCGGCGGCUCCGGGGAGGCUCAGAGGCGCUGGCUCCCCCCACCCCCUCUUCCUCAUCCUGCAGUCGCGCCUCCCCCCUCUUCCGCGCUGCGCACGGAUGGCGGCCGGAGCCGCAGAGAAAUGGGAUCAUACUAUAAAUCCUGUCUUGCUGAAUCACCCAUGCCAGACGAGCAGCCUGGGUAUCACCCUGAGUUGGUCGGAAAUACACAAUCUCAUGCCUCACUCGUGACCUGCUGGAUCACAACCUGCAUUUAACAAGAAUCAAGAGCCCCGGAGAUUCCUGUGCACAUCAGAGCUGGAGGAGCUCUAAUAUAUAUUAUUAUAUACAACUUGUUUUUUUAGCAACAGUGAGUCUUUGAGGUCUCUCAGUGUAAGAACAGAGUGGUCAUGUUCCUUGUUCGCAGCUGCAUAGUUUCCCACUGUUUACUAGUGCUUUGGUUUUGUUCUCUGGUUUGGUAAAAAUGAUUGUGCUGGGCUUGAAGAAUGGAUCAAUACAAUGCCA
Long non-coding RNA from Cervus elaphus (red deer), 829 nucleotides. RefSeq lists it as uncharacterized. The transcript is spliced from 2 exons. The record is from RefSeq and is a predicted model, not a curated record. Lineage: Eukaryota; Metazoa; Chordata; Mammalia; Artiodactyla; Cervidae.